This 834-nucleotide long non-coding RNA is filed under the name Pongo abelii (Sumatran orangutan). Its description in RNAcentral is "lincRNA". The record is from RNAcentral. Lineage: Eukaryota; Metazoa; Chordata; Mammalia; Primates; Hominidae.
AGAAGGAAUGGUACCAGCUCCUCCUUGUACCUCUGAUAGAAUUCGGCUGUGAAUCCAUCUGGUCCUGGACUUUGUUGGUUGGAGGUGAAGUAAUCUGCUGGAGGAGGGCCAGGAAUGUGAGAUGAGAGAUUUAAGGAGAGUGGAAGAGUGCCUUAACAACAACAGUAACAAAGAAGCAUUGUUGAGGCUCCACUGGAAACUGGUCAUGAAUGUGGUAGAACCAAGCUACCAUGUCAUGUGACACAGAAGUAAAUAGUUGGGCUCACCAAACUUCACGCUUUGUAAGUAAAUACAGUUAAAAGACAAGAGGUAGAAGAAUUUGGGAUUAUUGAAAAGAUGAAUUUUAUCACUGGAAUGGUGGCCUAAAAGCUCUAAUUUGGAUAAGAAUGAAAUAAAGAGAAUGAAAGCUGAUACAUUUGGGUAAACUGAAAUGGUCAGUGACCUAGAGGUCCCAAGUAAGGUCAAAAAAAAAAGCUGUAAUAUGGAGGUAGAGUUGAACCCCAUUUCAGACAAGCUGAAAAUGAGAGGGUUGUAGGGUCAGAGGUAGGUGCUAAAAUUUGUGAUAUUGGAAAUGGAGAGAUUACAGGUGAUAACAAUGUCUGAGUUGGAGCUGUGGUGUGGAUGACUUAGGUGCAUUGGAGAGUAAAGUCAGAAGGAGAGAAGGAACUGAGAGGCCUUUAUAUUGGCUGUUGAACCUGGGGCACUGAAGUAACUCAAAAUGAUGGCAGGCUUGGGGUAGAGAGAAGAAUGGUAAACCAAAGGCCAAUGUCUUUCACUGGCGGGGAGGUUAGAAUGGCCUAGCUGAGUGGCAUAGGCCUCAAGCAGGAGGUGGCU